AUGAAUACAGCAGCAUUAAAUCCUGACUGGGAUAAAAUGUUGGAAACAAUGCUGGAUCGCAUUCUAAGGUCUGAACCCACUAAGAUUAAGAAUCACCACAUCUGCAAAAAAUCUGGCCUGAAUUCCCAAGACAUGAACACGGUGGUCAGUCUUCAAGAAGUCACAAGAACCCCCAGGUGCCCUUGGUCUUCUUCUCCAAAAAUGCUCCAUCCUACUCUUUAUUCAAGCUCUUUCUCUCCCAUAGGUACAGACCUUCCCAAAUAA
RNAcentral lists this long non-coding RNA (264 nucleotides) under Fukomys damarensis (Damara mole-rat). RNAcentral describes it as "lncRNA (ENSFDAG00000025629.1)". The record is from RNAcentral. Lineage: Eukaryota; Metazoa; Chordata; Mammalia; Rodentia; Bathyergidae.